Molecule: ribosomal RNA, 429 nt
Filed under: Chloroflexota bacterium
Lineage: Bacteria; Bacillati; Chloroflexota
Description: Chloroflexi bacterium partial 16S ribosomal RNA
Rfam family: Bacterial small subunit ribosomal RNA
Source: RNAcentral
UGGGGAAUAUUGCACAAUGGGCGCAAGCCUGAUGCAGCCAUGCCGCGUGUAUGAAGACGGCCUUCGGGUUGUAAAGUACUUUCAGCGGGGAGGAAGGGAGUAAAGUUAAUACCUUUGCCCAUUGACGUUACCCGCAGAAGAAGCACCGGCUAACUCCGUGCCAGCAGCCGCGGUAAUACGGAGGGUGCAAGCGUUAAUCGGAAUUACUGGGCGUAAAGCGUACGCAGGCGGUUUGUUAAGUCAGAUGUGAAAUCCCCGGGCUCAACCUGGGAACUGCAUCUGAUACUGGCAAGCUUGAGUCUCGUAGAGGGGGGUAGAAUUCCAGGUGUAGCGGUGAAAUGCGUAGAGAUCUGGAGGAAUACCGGUGGCGAAGGCGGCCCCCUGGGCGAAGACUGACGCUCAGGUGCGAAAGCGUGGGGAGCAAACAGG